AGCAGCCCCAUUGAAGUCAAUGGACGCUCGGCUUCAGCAGAGAAAUACACUGAAGCUACAGGAAUGUAUGAGAAGGAAAUCGAGUCCGACCUGCGCAAGGGUCAACAACAACCAAUCAGAUCACUCUCCACUCAAGCCUCGCUUUCCAUCCAGAUGUCACCACAGGCCUCAACAGCUGGAAUGAUGACUAUAGGAAACAACUGAUGGGUCAGGAACAACAAGAAGGUAGCUUAAAUAAGGACAAAAUGUAUAUAUAUAUUGUGGUUGCAUUACCAUCCUGCAAUUAGAAAUUGUUUGAUUUAUUCAAUCUGGUAAUGAUUUAUGCCAUGUCAUUGGAAAAGAAUGUCAUUACACCACAGCCAGUAUCUCUGGUUUCAUGUGCAGCACGCUGUUUAUUUUACGCUUAUUUUCAACCUCCAUUUCACCCACGGCGAGGAACAUAAUUUAUUAUAAUUUACAUGUCUUAAUUACUGUUAUUUGAGCAACAUCGGGGGGGGUUAGGAAGCGCGAGAGAUUCCUCUCAUCUGCAAAGGAGAAUAAAGCUGGAUCUCAGGCCGGUAAUACCUUCAGACGUAGUCGUAUCAUGGCAACGGGGAUGCCAAUCGCUUCUGUCCACCUAAUGAAAAUUACACAAAUGACCCAUCCAGCGGCCGUCUCGAAACGGCCCAGCAGGUGCACCUCAUAAACUCUUUCAGCUGCAUUUCAUUACCUACCAUGAC
Onychostoma macrolepis is the source of this 719-nucleotide long non-coding RNA. RefSeq lists it as uncharacterized. Lineage: Eukaryota; Metazoa; Chordata; Actinopteri; Cypriniformes; Cyprinidae. The record is from RefSeq and is a predicted model, not a curated record. The transcript is spliced from 3 exons.